CUUAAGGAAUUGGCGGAGGGGCGCACAAGCGGUGGAUGAUGUGGAUUAAUUCGAUGCAACGCGAAAAACCUUACCUACCCUUGACAUGUCUGGAAUGCCGAAGAGAUUUGGCAGUGCUCGCAAGAGAACCGGAACACAGGUGCUGCAUGGCUGUCGUCAGCUCGUGUCGUGAGAUGUUGGGUUAAGUCCCGCAACGAGCGCAACCCUUGUCAAUAGUUGCUACGAAGGGGCACUCUAAUGAGACUGCCGGUGACAAAUCGGAGGAAGGUGGGGAUGACGUCAAGUCCUCAUGGCCCUUAUGGGUAGGGCUUCACACGUCAUACAAUGGUCGGGACAGAGGGUCGCCAACCCGCGAGGGGGAGCUAAUCCCAGAAACCCGAUCGUAGUCCGGAUCGCAGUCUGCAACUCGACUGCGUGAAGUCGGAAUCGCUAGUAAUCGCGGAUCAGCAUGUCGCGGUGAAUACGUCCCCGGGCCUUGCACACACCGCCCG
RNAcentral lists this ribosomal RNA (491 nucleotides) under uncultured bacterium. RNAcentral describes it as "bacterial SSU rRNA". It matches the Rfam family "Bacterial small subunit ribosomal RNA", at positions 901 to 1396 of the family's 1533-position model. The record is from RNAcentral.